RNAcentral lists this long non-coding RNA (2093 nucleotides) under Fragaria vesca (wild strawberry). RNAcentral describes it as "long non-coding RNA (FVES_LNC003056)". Lineage: Eukaryota; Viridiplantae; Streptophyta; Magnoliopsida; Rosales; Rosaceae. The record is from RNAcentral.
GUAACAAAAAGAAAGUCAUCAGAAAAAUGGUUAAAAAAUUGAUAAUUUAUAUAAUAAAAUAUUAUGUAAUGAGUAAUUAAUAAAUGCAAAAAAAGAAGGACGAAAAUGGUUCAUUUGCCUCAUAUUUUCCCUUCAAUCAGGAAAGCGUUUUCAUUCCUUUCUUUCUUUAUGUUUCCCCAAACGUAGAAAAUGAACAACUUUCUAAUACUUAUUUUUUGGAAAACAAACAAGACUUUAUAGUAGGACAUGUCAAGAUGAAAAAUUUAGACAUCUAACUUAAAAUCAAUUGAUAGUAACUCGCUAAUAAAAAGUUACAUUUUUCUAAUUUAAAACAACAUUCCACAUUCUCACGUUACCCUUUAUUUAUGACAUUUCACUUUAUGUCACACGGGCGAGAAACUAAAUCCUCUUUUCAACAAAACCUAAAUUAUUUGAGCUUGGAGUGUAAUGCUCCUUUUUAGAUUCUUGUGGAAGAAUCGAUCAUCCUUAACAAAACUUUUGGAUAUCAUGAUGAUGAGCCUUGAGCAAGAAUUCAUCAUAUGAAGGCAACAAUUGCAAGCCCACAAUUAGCGCGUGAUGAGGACAUUGUUUGAAGCUCUCUACCAGAACACACACAUUGUGGUUAGGGAAUUGGGUGUACGGAGGAGGAGGAGGAGCUUUCAAGGGAGGCAAAUAUGCAGGUGGUAACGUGUCAAAGUCGUUAGAAACUACUUGCAAUUAUGGCUUUUUCCGAUGAUGGGGUCAUGGGGUUUUGGUAACAAACUGUGAGAACGUGUCCCCCUGAGUUUAGUGCCUUCUGGUGUAUGGCAGGGGCACCAAUGUAUAUGUUGGAAUGGAAAGGAGACUAUGCAGGAUUCAUGCCAAGAAAGAAUGGAAAUUGAGUCCUUCAGUUACCAAUACAACUAAUCCUAUUUCUUGUGAUUGGUUUUGUAAGCUUUAUUUCUUUGAUUUUCUUUUGCUUUGUUAAACAAUGAUUGAAUUUUGAUGAUUUAGAGAUAUAGUUUAUGAGAUAUAUGAAUAUAACCACUUAGAUUAAUAUUUAUUGAUACAUGUUUUUGUUGUAAAGUAAAGAAAAGAAGAAGAGAAGACAUAGAGAGAAUAGUUGGGAGGAGGCAUAAGUCUAUUCAUUCAUUCUCAUUAGCCUCUUUAUAUAUAUGUAAGGUUUACAUCAGAGUACAUAAUUAAUGAGUAAUUACGUAGACAUCCACAUAGAUUAUAAUAUUUAUAACACUCCCCCUUGGAUGUCCACCAAUGAAUGAUGAAAUUAGACGCGCAUAAUGUUGUCUCGUUAAAAACCUUGCCAGGUAAGAAAAACCCAGUAGGAGAAAAAUAACUCUGGUCGAAGGAGAAAAAGAGUACAACGCGCAUAUGUCUUAGGUAGCAUACUUCUGGAUACUCCCCCUGAACGUUGCAAGCUUCAUGCGCCGUAAAUAACGGUUUGAUUUGUCCGUCACUAAAGUGAGACCAUGCGUGCUUUGCAUAUUUGUCCGUCACUAGAGCUAGACAAUUAUAAAUAGGUCUUACCUCAUUAAGUCGUAUGACCUAAUUCAUACACUAAGUAAUAGCUAAUCAACAUAAGCUAAUUGACAUUAAAGCAUUGAAACAUCAUCAUGGCGUAUCCAGCCAUACACAUCAAUAUCUUUCUGUAUGAUACGUCUCAUAUAAACUCUACAAGAGCUCUGAGUAAUUCAUAACUUCCCAAGAGUUAGAAUAUGUAGCAACAUAAUGAUCAUAAUUCGAAUUCGAUUGUGUAGUCUGAUCAUAGUACUUAUUGAGGCAAUUUCGAUCACGUUAGCUAUAACAGAAUGAGUAUAUAUGAGUUAUUUUAGACUAUUUGAUUUCAUGAAUUAGCUUCAGGCUCUCUCAAGUAUUCAUGGAUCGAAUUACAUUAGAAUCAUUCAUGUACUUGAAUCCUUUGAGGAUUUGACCAGUGAUACGCUGGUAAUGACACUUCACUUCUGGGAAUUUGGUUUAUCAAUGUGUCUUUAAAGGCCCUCGUAAUAUACGAUGACAACAUGACAUGCCAUAAGUCUCUCAUCUAUGUAACAGUUACAUGUAACACUGUACUUAUAGCAAAAUAUCAUUCGUAUAAG